RNAcentral lists this ribosomal RNA (322 nucleotides) under Physarum pseudonotabile. Its description in RNAcentral is "bacterial SSU rRNA". It matches the Rfam family "Eukaryotic small subunit ribosomal RNA", at positions 80 to 350 of the family's 1831-position model. Lineage: Eukaryota; Evosea; Eumycetozoa; Physariida; Physaraceae. The record is from RNAcentral.
UCUGAAUCUGCGAACGGCUCCGCAAACCAGUUGUAAACCAUAGCAAGCACGCCUUGGGCCGCCGCAAGGCGGUCCUUGGCUAUAGGGAUAACCCUGGUAAUUCUGAGGCUAAUACAUGAACGUAACCCCCGGCCGACAGGCAACUGGAAGCCGGGGACCGUGCGAGUUAAGCGUAACGAUUUAUCGGAGUAGUCGCACAGUACGACCACCAUAAAAACGGUAUCCGCUUCGUCGCCUCACGGUAGCUGGCGGUGUCCGGGUGGCUCUUGCAAGGUGCUUCUGACCUAUCAACUAGAUGGCAGCGUAACGGACAUGCUAUGGU